This is a non-coding RNA of Potamilus streckersoni, 73 nucleotides long. The record is from the annotation of a GenBank genome assembly. NCBI's taxonomy places the organism in Eukaryota, Metazoa, Mollusca, Bivalvia, Unionida, Unionidae.
GAUCCGGUGGCCUAAAGGUUAGAACGUCCGCCUUAGAUCCGGUAGGUCUCGGGUUCGAACCUCGGCCGAGUCA